AUUCCAUAUUUUCUUGUUAAAAACACAAGGUCUACUGGUGAAUGCCCACUAAUUCUUAAAUCCUUCUCCCUAAAUUUUUUUCAAUUAAUAAUCACGUUUCACGUAAAUAGAAAAAAACAUUAAAACUACUUAUUCCAGUUAGUCGUGCAACAAUGUAAAUCUAUUGACUAAUUAACAAGAAACAUGAUACUGCUUAGUUUCAUAAUGAAAUCAGUGUAGAAUUCUUCAAAUCUUCCAAGUGUGUCUCCAGUCACUGAAAAAAAGCCUGAAUUUCAAAGUAAUUCUGCUGAAGCAAUUGUAAACAAAAGUGCAUUUAUAGAGAUUUGUUAUGGGAAAGAUGAAAAACAGAAUCAGUAACAAAGUAUAACAACAACAAAACACAAAAUGAUCGGAUUAAGCAUAGAGAUAGAGAAGGUCUUGUGCUCGUCACAAAGCGGAGAAGAAACAGUCAGCAUCUAACAAAUGGUUUGUACCGUCAACAAUCAAUCUUUGCUUCAGUGCAUUGAAGAGAGGACUCUUGCAAAUAUGUUAUGGGACAACAAUUUCAUUCUUCUCCAGCUACAAGAAUUUCAUAGAUCUCUUCAAAUUCGAAUUUUAAGCUGUAGAAAUGUUCAGAAAACAAUUUAGUAAGGGCUGUACAAUAAUUACUUGUGGUUUAAUUACUAAAGAAGUCCACUGGAAUGAAUGUUUAUUAAAUAUAGAGGGUGGUGGAUCUCUCACCUCGAAUUUUUGAUUAAUUGAUCUACAUAUUCCGUAGCUCUUUCCCCCUUUUUCGUUCAAUUUUACUCCUGUAAUAUCCUG
RNAcentral lists this long non-coding RNA (801 nucleotides) under Olea europaea subsp. europaea. The record is from RNAcentral. Lineage: Eukaryota; Viridiplantae; Streptophyta; Magnoliopsida; Lamiales; Oleaceae.